AAGACUAUAGACCUGCGGAGUACCUGCGGAAGGAUCAUUAACAAAUCCAUAUGCGUGAGUUUGGGUGGGUAAUUCUGCCUGCUCACGAAUAUUAAACCCGGCUAGUCCGCGAGGGCUAGUUGGAAAUAAAUGCGUGUUAUGUUGACAGUGUGUGAGUGAUUUUUAAUUAUUGACAACUUUCAGCAAUGGAUCUCU
This 195-nucleotide unclassified non-coding RNA is filed under the name soil metagenome. Its description in RNAcentral is "partial contains 5.8S ribosomal RNA, internal transcribed spacer 2, and large subunit ribosomal RNA". The record is from RNAcentral.